Molecule: ribosomal RNA, 484 nt
Filed under: uncultured bacterium
Lineage: Bacteria
Description: partial 16S ribosomal RNA
Rfam family: Bacterial small subunit ribosomal RNA
Source: RNAcentral
AGUGAACGCUGGCGGCAGGCCUAACACAUGCAAGUCGAGCGGAUGAAGGGAGCUUGCUCCUGGAUUCAGCGGCGGACGGGUGAGUAAUGCCUAGGAAUCUGCCUGGUAGUGGGGGAUAACGUCCGGAAACGGGCGCUAAUACCGCAUACGUCCUGAGGGAGAAAGUGGGGGAUCUUCGGACCUCACGCUAUCAGAUGAGCCUAGGUCGGAUUAGCUAGUUGGUGGGGUAAAGGCCUACCAAGGCGACGAUCCGUAACUGGUCUGAGAGGAUGAUCAGUCACACUGGAACUGAGACACGGUCCAGACUCCUACGGGAGGCAGCAGUGGGGAAUAUUGGACAAUGGGCGAAAGCCUGAUCCAGCCAUGCCGCGUGUGUGAAGAAGGUCUUCGGAUUGUAAAGCACUUUAAGUUGGGAGGAAGGGCAGUAAGUUAAUACCUUGCUGUUUUGACGUUACCAAAAGAAUAAGCACCGGCUAACUUCGUG